GACGAACGCUGGCGGCGUGGAUUAGGCAUGCAAGUCGAACGGUAGGAUACCUUCGGGUAUCUGAGAGUGGCGAACGGGUGAGUAACACGUAGGUGAUCUACCCUCAAGAUUGGGACAACCCAGGGAAACUUGGGCUAAUACCGGAUGAAAGCAGCAGUGAUGUUGUUUGAAAGGUGGCGUAAGCUGCCGUUUGGGGAUGAGCCUGCGCUCUAUUAGUUAGUUGGCGGGGUAAAGGCCCACCAAGGCGAUGAUAGAUAGGCGGCCUUAACGGGUGGUCGCCCACACUGGGAUUGAGAUGCGGCCCAGACUCCUACGGGAGGCAGCAGUCGAGAAUAGUCUACAAUGGCCGAAAGGCUGAUAGUGCGACGCCGCGUGAACGAAGAAGCCCUUCGGGGUGUAAAGUUCUUUUAUAUGUGAGCAGUGCUUUCUAUGUGAACAGCAUGGGGAGAGAGAUAUUAGCAUAUGAAUAAGCAACGGCUAACUCCGUGCCAGCACG
This 496-nucleotide ribosomal RNA is filed under the name uncultured bacterium. RNAcentral's name for it is "bacterial SSU rRNA". It matches the Rfam family "Bacterial small subunit ribosomal RNA", at positions 28 to 515 of the family's 1533-position model. The record is from RNAcentral.